This 253-nucleotide ribosomal RNA is filed under the name uncultured bacterium. RNAcentral's name for it is "partial 16S ribosomal RNA". It matches the Rfam family "Bacterial small subunit ribosomal RNA", at positions 524 to 776 of the family's 1533-position model. The record is from RNAcentral.
UACGAAGGGGGCGAGCGUUGUUCGGAAUCACUGGGCGUAAAGGGCGCGUAGGCGGCCCUUCUUGUCGCGUGUGAAAGCCCCGGGCUCAACCUGGGAAUGGCGCGCGAGACGGGGGGGCUGGAGUUCGGGAGAGGAGCGUGGAAUUCCCAGUGUAGAGGUGAAAUUCGUAGAUAUUGGGAAGAACACCGGUGGCGAAGGCGGCGCUCUGGACCGAGACUGACGCUGAGGCGCGAAAGCUAGGGGAGCAAACGGG